This 498-nucleotide ribosomal RNA is filed under the name uncultured bacterium. RNAcentral describes it as "partial 16S ribosomal RNA". It matches the Rfam family "Bacterial small subunit ribosomal RNA", at positions 28 to 523 of the family's 1533-position model. The record is from RNAcentral.
GAUGAACGCUAGCGGCAGGCUUAAUACAUGCAAGUCGAACGGGAUUGAGAAGCUUGCUUUUCAUGAGAGUGGCGCACGGGUGCGUAACACGUAUGCAACCUACCUUGUCCAGGGGGAUAGCCCGUUGAAAGACGGAUUAAGACCGCAUAACAUUGAGCUGUGGCAUCACAAAUCAAUCAAAUAUUUAUAGGAUUAAGAUGGGCAUGCGUGACAUUAGCUAGUUGGCGGGGUAACGGCCCACCAAGGCGACGAUGUCUAGGGGAUCUGAGAGGAUGACCCCCCACACUGGUACUGAGACAUGGACCAGACUCCUACGGGAGGCAGCAGUAAGGAAUAUUGGUCAAUGGAGGCAACUCUGAACCAGCCAUGCCGCGUGCAGGAAGACAGCCCUCUGGGUCGUAAACUGCUUUUAUUCGGGAAUAAACCUACUUACGUGUAAGUAGCUGAAUGUACCGAAGGAAUAAGGAUCGGCUAACUCCGUGCCAGCCGCCGCGGUAA